This 1024-nucleotide ribosomal RNA is filed under the name marine metagenome. RNAcentral describes it as "bacterial SSU rRNA". It matches the Rfam family "Bacterial small subunit ribosomal RNA", at positions 8 to 1057 of the family's 1533-position model. The record is from RNAcentral.
AGAGUUUGAUCCUGGCUCAGGAUGAAUGCUGGCGGCGUGCCUAACACAUGCAAGUCGAGCGGCAGCGCGGGUAGUUUACUACCUGGCGGCGAGCGGCGGACGGCUGAGUAACGCGUGGGAACGUGCCCCAAAGUGAGGAAUAACUGCCCGAAAGGGUGGCUAAUGCCGCAUAUGAUCUUCGGAUUAAAGUCUUCGGACGCUUUGGGAGCGGCCCGCGUCGGAUUAGGUUGUUGGUGAGGUAAUGGCUCACCAAGCCGACGAUCCGUAGCUGGUCUGAGAGGAUGAUCAGCCAGACUGGAACUGAGACACGGUCCAGACUCCUACGGGAGGCAGCAGUGAGGAAUCUUCCACAAUGGGCGAAAGCCUGAUGGAGCAACGCCGCGUGCAGGAUGAAGGCCCUCGGGUCGUAAACUGCUUUUAUAAGUGAAGAAUAUGACGGUAACUUAUGAAUAAGCACCGGCUAACUACGUGCCAGCAGCCGCGGUCAUACGUAGGGUGCAAGCAUUAUCCGGAGUGACUGGGCGUAAAGAGUUGCGUAGGUGGUUUGUUAAGUAGGUAGUGAAAUCUGGCGGCUCAACCGUACAGGCUAUUACCUAAACUGGCAAACUCGAGAAUGGUAGAGGUAACUGGAAUUUCUUGUGUAGGAGUGAAAUCCGUAGAUAUAAGAAGGAACACCAAUGGCGUAGGCAGGUUACUGGACCAUUUCUGACACUGAGGCACGAAAGCGUGGGGAGCGAACGGGAUUAGAUACCCCGGUAGUCCACGCCGUAAACGAUGGAUACUAGCUGUUGGAGGUAUCGACCCCUCCAGUAGCGAAGCUAACGCGUUAAGUAUCCCGCCUGUGGAGUACGGUCGCAAGACUAAAACAUAAAGGAAUUGACGGGGACCCGCACAAGCGGUGGAUUGUGUUCUUUAAUUCGAUGAUAAACGAUGAACCUUACCAGGGCUUGACAUCCCGAGAAUUUUGCCGAAAGGCGAGAGUGCUUUAUUGAACUCGGUGACAGAUCUUGCAUGGCCGUCGUCA